UCCUGCAAGGUUGGAACAGAUAAAGUAAGGUUGGAACAGGUUAAGUAAAGACAAAUGAAUUACCUCUUGCUGGGCUUACGUCUUCCUAUUUAACUUGUUUAGUAGCAUGUCAGGGAUUCUGUGUGUGAUUUUUACGACUAUUUGAGUAUAUUCUUAGGCAUGGAAGCACAGUGAACAUUCUCUUUUAGUUUCCAGAAACCUUGUUGGUGCCGAGACAACAAUCUUUUUUGCUUUUACACUACUAUACAUAUGAUAUUGGCCUAUCUGUUCAUCAUAUCCACAUAUAUUUUCUGAUGUUGACUUUCAAAUGCGCAAUAUCUGUAUCUUACCCUUGAUGGAUUAAAGCUUGCAGCAGCAAUAGGCAAUCCUAGAGUUGUGAAAGUUACCAACCACAAACCUCCGAGUCGAAGUAAAAAGGGCCCAGGUCCCAGUUCGCCCCACGAGUACAAGGCUCCGUCCUUCAGAGAUGAGUACUCAUUCACCUAUCAUGGAAUCAAAUAACUGACUGAGACUACUGCAAAAUUAGACAGAGAGAUUGAAAACAUACCGGCCUUUGCUCAAAAGGAACCUCAAUUUCUGACCCCGGAUCCCAACUCUGCCCGCGGAAGCCACUCGUUUCCCCGCCUGCCCCAUCUUUCAAGGCCUUGAUAGAAACCCCCUUGGGCAGCCUUCUAGCACUACGGUAUUGGAUGAGCCAUGAGGUGGAGCUGCUACCAACCGUCACUAACUUGACUUUUGGAGGACUAAAGAGCAGAGAGCAAUACACUUGCGCUCGGAGCAUCUAUUUCCUUAAAAUCGAACCGAACCGAGCGCAGCCGAGGGGUAUCCUAAAUUUCUUGGUUCAACUGGCAAGAAACCGGGGGAGGAGAUGAGUGUUUUUCAGGGAUGGUUGUGUUUUUUCAGGGACCAUGCAUUAUUUACGUGGAGGAAAACAACUGAUUCGGAAAAUCAUAUUUGUAAUUUACUGCGAAGAGGAGGGCUUGUUUGGACAAUGACCCAAAGCCAGGUAGGCAAAACGUGUGAUAGUACUUGUAUACUUCCAUUGGAAGGGGGGACCCACACAAUUGGACAUGUGUGCAAGCCUCUCCUUUGUGUGUGUACUUUUGGACCGUCGAUCAUGUAGGCCUGUAAAUAGGAUUAUCCAAAUGUUAGGGACUUUAAAAAGUAAUUUUGUUCUUGUCUGUAAACAGUGUGUUGGCGACGUUGAUUGUGCAAAUGAAAUGUGAACACCUUCGGCCUUCCACGCA
Molecule: non-coding RNA, 1247 nt
Organism: Malus domestica (apple)
Lineage: Eukaryota; Viridiplantae; Streptophyta; Magnoliopsida; Rosales; Rosaceae
Source: RefSeq, a predicted model, not a curated record